RNAcentral lists this ribosomal RNA (497 nucleotides) under uncultured bacterium. RNAcentral describes it as "partial 16S ribosomal RNA". It matches the Rfam family "Bacterial small subunit ribosomal RNA", at positions 28 to 507 of the family's 1533-position model. The record is from RNAcentral.
GAUGAACGCUGGCGGCGUGCCUAAUACAUGCAAGUCGAGCGAACAGACGAGGAGCUUGCUCCUCUGACGUUAGCGGCGGACGGGCGAGUAACACGUGGAUAACCUACCUAUAAGACUGGGAUAACUUCGGGAAACCGGAGCUAAUACCGGAUAAUAUAUUGAACCGCAUGGUUCAAUAGUGAAAGACGGUUUUGCUGUCACUUAUAGAUGGAUCCGCGCCGCAUUAGCUAGUUGGUAAGGUAACGGCUUACCAAGGCAACGAUGCGUAGCCGACCUGAGAGGGUGAUCGGCCACACUGGAACUGCGACACGGUCCAGACUCCUACGGGAGGCAGCAGUAGGGAAUCUUCCGCAAUGGGCGAAAGCCUGACGGAGCAACGCCGCGUGAGUGAUGAAGGUCUUCGGAUCGUAAAACUCUGUUAUUAGGGAAGAACAAAUGUGUAAUUAACUAUGCACGUCUUGACGGUACCUAAUCAGAAAGCCACGGCUAACUACGUG